RNAcentral lists this ribosomal RNA (749 nucleotides) under uncultured Capnocytophaga sp. RNAcentral's name for it is "bacterial SSU rRNA". It matches the Rfam family "Bacterial small subunit ribosomal RNA", at positions 28 to 776 of the family's 1533-position model. Lineage: Bacteria; Pseudomonadati; Bacteroidota; Flavobacteriia; Flavobacteriales; Flavobacteriaceae. The record is from RNAcentral.
GAUGAACGCUAGCGGCAGGCCUAACACAUGCAAGUCGAGGGAGAGGUUAUCUUCGGGUAACCAAAACCGGCGCACGGGUGCGUAACGCGUAUACAAUCUGCCUUUCACAUAGGGAUAGCCCGAAGAAAUUUGGAUUAAUACCUAAUGGUAUAUAAGAGCGGCAUCGUUUUUAUAUUAAAGCUACGGUGGUGAAAGAUGAGUAUGCGUUCUAUUAGCUAGUUGGAGAGGUAACGGCUCCCCAAGGCGACGAUAGAUAGGGGUUCUGAGAGGGAUGUCCCCCACACUGGUACUGAGAUACGGACCAGACUCCUACGGGAGGCAGCAGUGAGGAAUAUUGGACAAUGGUCGGAAGACUGGUCCAGCCAUGCCGCGUGCAGGAUGAAGGUCCUAUGGAUUGUAAACUGCUUUUGUAAGGGAAGAAUAAGGAGUACGUGUACUUUGAUGACGGUACCUUACGAAUAAGCAUCGGCUAACUCCGUGCCAGCAGCCGCGGUAAUACGGAGGAUGCGAGCGUUAUCCGGAAUCAUUGGGUUUAAAGGGUCCGUAGGCGGGCUGAUAAGUCAGAGGUGAAAGCGCUUAGCUCAACUAAGCAACUGCCUUUGAAACUGUCAGUCUUGAAUGAUUGUGAAGUAGUUGGAAUGUGUAGUGUAGCGGUGAAAUGCUUAGAUAUUACACAGAACACCGAUAGCGAAGGCAUAUUACUAACAAUUUAUUGACGCUGAUGGACGAAAGCGUGGGGAGCGAACAGG